Molecule: non-coding RNA, 31 nt
Filed under: Mus musculus (house mouse)
Lineage: Eukaryota; Metazoa; Chordata; Mammalia; Rodentia; Muridae
Source: RNAcentral
UNGGUGACUGCCAAGGGAUAACCUAAACGGG